AAUGAACGCUGGCGGCGUGGAUUAGGCAUGCAAGUCGAACGAGAAAGCGGUUUUUAAUCGUGAGUAAAGUGGCGAAUGGGUGAGUAACGCGUGGGAAACCUACCCUUGAGUGUGGAAUAACAUUUCUAACGAGAUGCUAAUACCGCAUAAUAUUACAGAUCGCAUGUUCUGUAAUCAAAGGAGGCCUCUAUUUAUAAGCUAUCGCUUAAGGAUGGUCCCGCGUCCAAUUAGCUAGUUGGUAGGGUAAUGGCCUACCAAGGCGACGAUUGGUAGCCGGCCUGAGAGGGUGUCCGGCCACACUGGGACUGAGACACGGCCCAGACUCCUACGGGAGGCAGCAGUCGAGAAGCUUCGGCAAUGGGGGAAACCCUGACCGAGCGACGCCGCGUGGGUGAUGAAGUCCUUCGGGAUGUAAAGCCCUGUCAUAUGGGAUGAAAAAUCGAUUGGUUAAUUACCUUUUGAUCUGACAGUACUAUAAGAG
This 481-nucleotide ribosomal RNA is filed under the name uncultured bacterium. RNAcentral describes it as "bacterial SSU rRNA". It matches the Rfam family "Bacterial small subunit ribosomal RNA", at positions 29 to 486 of the family's 1533-position model. The record is from RNAcentral.